Molecule: long non-coding RNA, 1512 nt
Organism: Dromaius novaehollandiae (emu)
Lineage: Eukaryota; Metazoa; Chordata; Aves; Casuariiformes; Dromaiidae
Exons: 3
Source: RefSeq, a predicted model, not a curated record
GCCGUUUGCGUGGUGGUAGCGAGGCCAUGUCCAUGCCCUGGAGCGAAGAAGAACGUUCUCGGUUAGCUGGAGAGUGUCCAUCAUGAGGAGGGUGAUCUGGACGAGGACCUGAUCGUGAUAAGAAGAAACAGGAUCAUAAGCAAAGAAGCAAACAGAUGAAUAAACUGUAAGAAAGCUAAAGGAUUCUGGUUUCCGUCCUCCUUCAAAGCGUGGAAAUUCAUCUGGAGUAGGAAGCAGACCUUUCCGGCCUCCUGAGCAGCAAGAGAUGCAGGAGGGGAUGGGAGUGAGAAGAGACAUUGUAUUCAUGAAACUGUAACAACUUGCCCAAGAAAAGUCUUUGCUUCCUCAGCCUUGCAUUUCAGCAUGAAGAACGCUCCCUCACCUCUAAGAGUACCGCGACCUCGCCCCCGAACACCAUGGUCCCUUCCUCUCGCGUUUUCAUCUGGAGAGUCAAAAGUGUCAUCUGGCCCAAAAUCUUCAGGACCAGGAAAGCCAUCUCUCCCCCUGGGUCCCCGGCCCUCAUGUCUUGAGGGUCCUCCUCUUCUGAAGCUACAAGAAAGAACAUGGUACAAAUGUGGUUUUUAGGCAAAAUUUACAUUGACAAACUUGAGUCAUCUUCACUUUAAUAAUCAACUUGUUUCUGAACUGUUUUACUUAGUACUGUAGCACAUACAAUUACUACAACAGGAUUUGUGGGUAAAAAAAGUGCUCAGUGCUCAUUUUCUACCUCUGAGCACUUUGUUUAUUCAUUUUUAUAGUUUUCCCUCUGAUGUCCUUUUGUUAUGUUUUUCAUACAAGAAAAAUAUUGUCAAAUAUACUGCAUUCAUUUAAUGAAAAGGGAAAAAUCAGUGAGUCAUGUUAGAUAUAAGACUUAAGGCAAGGUAAGGAAAAGGACAAGUGAAUUUCCCUAGCUGUUGUGGUCUUAUUUUCCCUUCCCUUUUUUCCCUUCCAUUUUAGUGAUAAAAACUAACUGAAAGAUACAGGUAGUUAGCAAGAGUCAUGGCUAUAGCAAAACAUUUCAGCAUCUAAAUUCUGUUCAUUUUGGAUUCUUUUGCUAUAACAUUCUCGUGUGCAUUCAAUUCUUAAGGAUCUAAGUUGAUAAUUUUAGCAAAAGAUCCUUGACUGUACUUGGCUCUGUAGUGAUGAUGGUUGCUGAACAGUGCACAGGGGCAUCCUACAGCCCAAAGAGUAGUUUAUCCAACUGCAAUAAUGAAAAAUUCUGUUUUGCAAAAUGUAGCCAUCAUGACACUGAAGUUGGUUAUUUCCUUCUAGUAAGUACCAUGAUAUCUUCAGUAAUUUGAUGUGAUUGGGUUCUGUAUCUUUUGUUAAACAAGUAUAGUUCCUCCAGUAUUGCACUGGGGUUUUAACUCAGAUCUUCAGAGAGAAAAACGGUUCUUACUGAACUGUCAAAUGCCAUUUCAGGUAAGCCUCUAGAUGGCUGCAUGAAUACUAGCACUUUUGUUUCUUACAGUACCAGUGUAUAAACACUUGGAGUGCUUGUAAAAGUGCAAA